CGACCAUAAAUACGCAAGCUUUGAAUUUGAAAUUUCGUUAAACGCUACUCUCCAAAAAAUAUCACCGCCGCGCCAUGGCGGCGACUUUAUCAUCUCCAUGGGGUAAACCCGGCGCAUGGGCUGUUGACGCCGAAGAAAAUGAAGCGGAAGACGAGCGACAACAAAGCGGCGCCGGUUCCUCAACCGAAAAGCUCGGGGAUUUCCCUUCCUUAGCCACCGCUGUCACCACCACCAAGGCGAAGAAAAAGAAGGGUCAAACCCUAUCUCUCGCCGAGUUUGCUUCUAAGCCCAGUGAGCCAACCCGACUCACUCGCGAGGAUCUUCUCGCACUCCCCACCGGCCCUCGACAACGUUCCGCUGAGGAACUCGAUCGCAACCGACUAGGUGGUGGUUUUAAAUCUUAUGGUUCGAAUAGGUAUGGUUCCGAUGGCGAUGAUUCUUCGAGUAAUAGUAGAUGGGGAUCUUCUUGGGGAUUGAAUAAAGAUAGAGAAACUGCUCCCUCACGCGCCGAUGAGAUUGAUGAUUGGGCUUCGGCUAAGAAAUCGACUUCCGUCGCGAACGGAUUUGGGGGUGGAUUUGAGAGGAGAGGGAGAGGAGGCGGCGGUGGUGGGUUUUCCAAUUCGCAAUCGAAAGCCGAUGAAGUAGAUAGCUGGGCAGCUAAUAAGAACUAUAAAAGCGCCGCAGAGGCACCGCCUCGGAGAUUUGGUGGGGGUUUCGAAAGAAGCAGUUUCGAUUCGACUCAAGCGAGAGAUUCGCCGAGGGAUUUGGAUAAUUGGGGAAAGAAAAAUGAUGAAAGUGCCAGUUCUGCUGGUAGCGGUGGGGUUAGACCAAAGCUUGUGCUUCAGCCACGUAAAGCUCCUCAAACUGAAAAGGGUAAGAAGGAUGCGACUCCGGCGGAUAAGCCCAAGGGGGCAAAUCCUUUUGGUGAGGCGAGGCCGCGAGAGGAGGUUUUGAAGGAAAAAGGGAAAGAUUGGAAGGAGAUUGAUGAGAAGAUGGAAGCUGCUAAGAUUAAAGAGACAUCAGCAGUUGCUGAGAAAGGAGGAAAGGGAAGUUUCGGGAAUGAGCGUGUGCCGGUGGAAAGAAGCUGGAGGAAGAAUGAGUCUGUUGAGGCUGCUAAUCAACCCUAAAGUGUAGGAGCAUGCUUUCUUCAGUAUGAAGCUCAUUGGUUUGUAUAUGAACUUUCUAUAUGCUGCUGCUGAGUCUGUUGAGGCUGCUAAUCAACCCUAAAGGGCCAAGGAAACGAUGAACGGCCGUGUUCCUGAGAAUUGAAGGCACGGACAGAAAAAGGUUUGUUUAGAAUUAAACUCAAGACUUGACAUCAAUAAAGAUGUAAAUAAUGCAAGUUAUUUGUCACUAUACUACUCCAUCAUUAGUUGAUGUAAUUGUUCGAGUUGUUGAUCGAAUAAAUCUUUUUUUUUUUAUGUCCAUAUCAACAGAUAUGUAAAUAAUGCAAGUUAUUUGUCAUUAUACUACUA
Gossypium raimondii (Peruvian cotton) is the source of this 1475-nucleotide RNA transcript. It is a transcript of the gene named eukaryotic translation initiation factor 4B3, with no coding region annotated. NCBI's taxonomy places the organism in Eukaryota, Viridiplantae, Streptophyta, Magnoliopsida, Malvales, Malvaceae. The transcript is spliced from 3 exons. The record is from RefSeq and is a predicted model, not a curated record.